AAAAUGACUCGCCAUCUCCUCAUUGGAUGUGCCUUUAGAGAGAAAUGCAUUUUUACAGAUUACAUAAUGGCAGAGUUUCUAUUUUGGUUUUGAAUUAGUUUUUUAGUUUUUUUAACAAUUUGCUAAGUUUCAGUUCAUCAUUGUGAAGUACUCCUGCUCAAAACCGAGAUGGCAGAAAGCAUUUGUUUUCUUUAUUUUAUAAAAGCACAAAGUUUUGCUGAUAUUUUGAGUGCACACAAAUAAAAGUAGACCCUUUACAGUUUAGAAUGAUGUAUUACUCUUACCUUUAUGAGCAAAAAUGACUGCGUAUUUUAAGUUGUCUCCACUGUUGGAAAUAAAAUGCAAGUGAUCGCUCUGGCACCUCCAUGUUCUGCAGAGCGUGCUUCAGCUUCCACUCUCUGCCCAAACAAUUGAAUAUGCGCCUAACAGUGAUCAUUUAUCUACGUUAAACAUUUAAACUAACAUUGUGAUAUGCUUGAAAAACUAAACUAAAUAUAAUCAAUUUUCCAUUACAUACAAAACUGAACUAUUUUAAUAGGUUAAACAGUAGUAUAAGCUUUUUUGGGAAAAUGGGGAAAAAGACUGUCUAGGGCCUAUAUAUGAGUUGUAUGUGGGGUUAUAAUAGCACAAUUCUUAACCUCACCUCAGACCUCACUAAGUUUCAAACCCUGGCUACGGUCAUACACAUCUCUAUUAUAAUUUGUUAUUAUUAUUUUAAAUCAGAGGGUUUUACAAAUAUUUAACCAAUGAUAAACAUUAAAAAGAGCUUGUCAGUAAAACUUUGUAACGCCACUGGAUCCUCAAACUGUCAGCCAAACCUUGUUACUUCAACCCGCCUCCAUUCAGAUCGACAAGCCAAGCAUAAGCCUGGAGGAGACAGAUCUCUGCUUGUUCAGGGUAUGAUAAUGCAGGGUAAAUAAAUAAUUGAUGUUUGAUUAGUUUUCUUUACUCAAACACUAUGUGUGUAAAGGCUUAUAUUUUUGUGAAAAUGCAGAUCUCAUCUUCGUCAUUCGCUGGACAAAAAUCUUGUUAACUCCAUUUUAGCUUGAUUUUCAUGUUAAGUGCAAGUGUCUGAUAUAAUACCAACACUGACGACGCAGUGUUGUUUAAUUAUUGAUUUUGCCCCCCGCCGUAUUUCAGUGCUUCAGUUCUAUGGAAUUGUUUUAAAUGAUUCGGUUCAAUCGCAACGACUCACUUAUUAACAGUGACUUGCUGCCACCUACUAAUUGUUUUAAUUUUCCAUUUUUAAAGUAUCUUUUAAUUUUCUUAAAGCAUUCCAUGUCCCUCUAGCUGCAUUGAUGUGUAAAUACAUCUAAAUGCCAAAUAAAAAUUAAGAAUGGCCGGUAUACACUGUAAUUAUGAACCAAAACCACAUAUUUGUACUAGUCAAGUGGGAAAUUAAUGUGGAAAAAAUUAUACUCUGAAGCCCUUGUGGAUUUACACAAAAUGAGAAAGUCAAAAAGGGCCAGUUUCUGUUUCGCUCUCUCCUUCUCUGCAUAAAGAGUAUGCCCAAUACUAGUGCUCAAGCUGUUGAAAACCUACAGUCUAUCUCACUUGCUCCUGCACUCAUUAGAGUGAAUGUGUUUCUUGAUUCUUCCUUGCCUUACACUGACUGUCUUCUUCACAACUGAACAAAUUCUGUUGAUAUGAGAGUUCAAGAAAAUUAUAAGGAGAUCAUUACUGGUUUAGUUUUAAUUUCUAAUAUCUGAACAAUGUAAGUGAUUAUUCUAGCUCAACUUGUCUUCCUCUGCCUGUAUACAGUGUCAGUCCAAGAUACAAAAAUACAUAAAUCUCUGGGUGUGUCUCA
Molecule: long non-coding RNA, 1807 nt
Organism: Cyprinus carpio (common carp)
Lineage: Eukaryota; Metazoa; Chordata; Actinopteri; Cypriniformes; Cyprinidae
Exons: 2
Source: RefSeq, a predicted model, not a curated record